CCCCUCAGCGCACUCCCUCCCGCCGCCGCCGCCGCCCCGGCCCUGCCCGCCUCCUUUAUACGGACGGAGGCGCCCGAGGUUGGGGGGCUGCCGGGCCCGCCUUUCCCUCCCCUGCGCCGUGGGGCGAAGGGGGUCCCGCGGCUGGGCUGAGGCUCAUCGGUUGAGGAGAAGGCGUUGCAUCUCCCAGUGACUUCCUAGGUCUCACAUAGACUGAGAAAGAAGAGGCUGAUGAAGAAGAGAACAUCAACGAAGGAGGAGAAUGGCCCACGGGACCUAGGUCCCAACCAGCCUUUUAGUGGAACAAAACCUUGGGCGAGAGGAUCUGCAGUUCUGUGUUGCCCCUUCUCUCUAGAGAAAUAAAAUCUGGCUGCAAACCUGAAAGGAUCGUUUCCCCCUGGUGAUACAGGGCCUGAAGAGCACAUUUUCCUUCCACUUUCAGGCUUUGUUCUGAAGAAAUACGAGCUGCUAGGUGAAGAUGAUAGUUGGACUGACUUCUCCACUGAGAUUUAUAAACCUCUCUUAUGAAGCAUUUAUAUGAAACACUUCAUAAUCCACCAAUCCUGCCAUUCACUAGAAUCGGAGAGAGGGAUUUUUCCUCUAGGUGAAGGCAGCCAAAGACAUUCCACGCAUCUGCCAUCGACACGUGUGUAUGUGCAAUCUCCACAAUGGAGAUUAGAGCAUUCUUACUUGUAUUAGACAAUCCUAAUUAAAAGAUACUUGGAAGGUGCUACAGAGCCAGGCAAUGCUAUGUGAAAAAAGAUUGAAUGUGGAAAUCCAGAAGAAAUUAU
Molecule: long non-coding RNA, 788 nt
Organism: Harpia harpyja (harpy eagle)
Lineage: Eukaryota; Metazoa; Chordata; Aves; Accipitriformes; Accipitridae
Exons: 3
Source: RefSeq, a predicted model, not a curated record